GUUCCUUGGAAAAGGACAGCUGAGAGGGUGAGACUCCCGUCCGCCUGGUGGAGUGAGUCGUUGUCAACGAGUCGAGUUGUUUGGGAUUGCAGCUCUAAUUUGGUGGUAAAUUCCAUCUAAAGCUAAAUAUUGGUGGGAGACCGAUAGCGUACAAGUACCGUGAGGGAAAGAUGCAAAGAACUUUGAAAAGAGAGUUAAAGAGUACCUGAAAUUGCUGAAACGGAAGCGAAGGAAACCAGUGUUUGUUGGUUCAUAUUUCCCUGGCCACUUGUGGUUUGGGCGCUGUGAGCUUGCGUGGGUUUGGGUUGGUUGAUCCCUUUGGAAGAGCGCAGUCAGAGUUGAUGUCU
This 347-nucleotide ribosomal RNA is filed under the name Pseudo-nitzschia arenysensis. RNAcentral's name for it is "LSU rRNA". It matches the Rfam family "Eukaryotic large subunit ribosomal RNA", at positions 185 to 544 of the family's 3401-position model. Lineage: Eukaryota; Bacillariophyta; Bacillariophyceae; Bacillariales; Bacillariaceae. The record is from RNAcentral.